AGAGUUUGAUCCUGGCUCAGAUUGAACGCUGGCGGCAGGCCUAACACAUGCAAGUCGAGCGGAUGAAGAGAGCUUGCUCUCUGAUUCAGCGGCGGACGGGUGAGUAAUGCCUAGGAAUCUGCCUGGUAGUGGGGGACAACGUUUCGAAAGGAACGCUAAUACCGCAUACGUCCUACGGGAGAAAGCAGGGGACCUUCGGGCCUUGCGCUAUCAGAUGAGCCUAGGUCGGAUUAGCUAGUUGGUGAGGUAAUGGCUCACCAAGGCGACGAUCCGUAACUGGUCUGAGAGGAUGAUCAGUCACACUGGAACUGAGACACGGUCCAGACUCCUACGGGAGGCAGCAGUGGGGGAUAUUGGACAAUGGGCGAAAGCCUGAUCCAGCCAUGCCGCGUGUGUGAAGAAGGUCUUCGGAUUGUAAAGCACUUUAAGUUGGGAGGAAGGGCAGUAACUUAAUACGUUGCUGUUUUGACGUUACCGACAGAAUAAGCACCGGCUAACUCUGUGCCAGCAGCCGCGGUAAUA
This 522-nucleotide ribosomal RNA is filed under the name uncultured bacterium. RNAcentral's name for it is "bacterial SSU rRNA". It matches the Rfam family "Bacterial small subunit ribosomal RNA", at positions 8 to 525 of the family's 1533-position model. The record is from RNAcentral.